GAGCUAUGAGCUCGACAUAUAACAGUAGAGCUCUGUCUUCACACGGCAGAGGUCGGCAGUUCGAGCCUGCCAUCGCCCA
This 79-nucleotide transfer RNA is filed under the name Planctomycetia bacterium. RNAcentral describes it as "tRNA-Val". Lineage: Bacteria; Pseudomonadati; Planctomycetota; Planctomycetia. The record is from RNAcentral.